Molecule: transfer RNA, 61 nt
Filed under: bovine gut metagenome
Rfam family: tRNA
About the family: Transfer RNA (tRNA) molecules are approximately 80 nucleotides in length. Their secondary structure includes four short double-helical elements and three loops (D, anti-codon, and T loops). Further hydrogen bonds mediate the characteristic L-shaped molecular structure. tRNAs have two regions of fundamental functional importance: the anti-codon, which is responsible for specific mRNA codon recognition, and the 3' end, to which the tRNAs corresponding amino acid is attached (by aminoacyl-tRNA synthetases). tRNAs cope with the degeneracy of the genetic code in two manners: having more than one tRNA (with a specific anti-codon) for a particular amino acid; and 'wobble' base-pairing, i.e. permitting non-standard base-pairing at the 3rd anti-codon position.
Source: RNAcentral
UUAGUUCAGUCGGUUAGAACAACGGACUGUUAAUCCGUGUGUCGCAGGUUCGAGUCCCGCA